Molecule: ribosomal RNA, 406 nt
Filed under: uncultured bacterium
Lineage: Bacteria
Description: partial 16S ribosomal RNA
Rfam family: Bacterial small subunit ribosomal RNA
Source: RNAcentral
AUUGAACGCUGGCGGCAGGCCUAACACAUGAAAGGCGAGCGAGCGGCGGACGGGUGAGUAAUGUAUGGGGAUGUGCCAGAUAGGGGGGGAUAACUACUGGACACGGGGGCUAAUACCGCAAAAUAGCGGAUACACACAUAUGGGAUUAGCUAGUAGGUGGGGUAAAGGCUCACCUAGGCGACGAUCUCUAGCUGGUCUGAGAGGAUGAUCAGCCACACUGGGACUGAGACACGGCCCAGACUCCUACGUGAGGCAGCAGUGGGGAAUAUUGCACAAUGGGCGCAAGCCUGAUGCAGCCAUGCCGCGUGUAUGAAGAAGGCCUUAGGGUUGUAAAGUACUUUCAGCGGGGAGGCGUUACCCGCAGAAGAAGCACCGGCUAACUCCGUGCCAGCAGCCGCGGUAAUAC